AUGUUUGAUCAUGGCUCAGGACAAACGCUGGCGGCGUGCGUAACACAUGCAAGUCGUGCGGGCGGAGGACUUCGGUCUUCUGUCAGCGGCGGACGGGUGAGUAACACGUGAAUCACCAACCCUCCAGUGGGGGAUACCCGGCGGAAACGCUGGUUAAUCCCGCAUACGUUUCUCUCAAGAAAGAAAGCCGUAAGGCGCUGGUGGACGGGUUCGCGGUCGAUUAGCUAGUUGGCAGGGUAAGAGCCUACCAAGGCGACGAUCGAUAGCUGGUCUGAGAGGAUGAUCAGCCACACUGGGAUUGAGAACGGCCCAGACUCCUACGGGGGGCAGCAGUGAGGAAUCUUCGUCAAUGGGCUAAGGCCUGAACGAGCAACGCCGCGUGGAGGACGACGCCUUUCGGGGUGUAAACUCCUUUUCUGGGGGACGAGAACGGACGGUACCCCAGGAAGAAGUCUCGGCUAACUACGUGCCAGCAGCCGCGGUAAUA
This 487-nucleotide ribosomal RNA is filed under the name uncultured bacterium. RNAcentral's name for it is "bacterial SSU rRNA". It matches the Rfam family "Bacterial small subunit ribosomal RNA", at positions 9 to 525 of the family's 1533-position model. The record is from RNAcentral.